This 1189-nucleotide ribosomal RNA is filed under the name Synstelium polycarpum. Its description in RNAcentral is "SSU rRNA". It matches the Rfam family "Eukaryotic small subunit ribosomal RNA", at positions 1 to 1199 of the family's 1831-position model. The record is from RNAcentral. Lineage: Eukaryota; Evosea; Eumycetozoa.
UCUGGUUGAUCCUGCCUGAACUGAUGUGUUUGUUUCAAAGAUUAAGCCAUGCAUGUCUAAGUAUAAACGAUUUUAUCGUGAAACCGCGAACGGCUCAUUAAAUCAGCUAUUAUCUACUUGAUUUUGACACAAGUUACUUGGAUAACUGUGGUAAUUCUAGAGCUAAUACAUGCGCUAAAGCUCUGACCUAGCGGAAAGAGUGCAUUUAUUAGAGCAAAACCAAGCGGCUUUGGUCGUGUUUUGCUGACUCAGAAUAACUUAGCUGAUCGCACGGUCUAUGAACCGGCGACGUGUCAUACGAGUAUCUGCCUUAUCAAUUGUCGAUGGUAGUGUAUUGGACUACCAUGGUGUUGACGGGUAACGGAGAAUUAGGGUUCGACUCCGGAGAAGGGGCCUGAGAAAUGGCCACUACGUCUAAGGAUGGCAGCAGGCGCGCAAAUUACCCACUCUCGGAAAGAGGAGGUAGUGACGAGAAAUAACGAGACCGUUCUCUUAAUGAGGCCGGUUAUCGGAAUGGGUACAAUUUAAACCCUUUAACGAGUAUCUAUGAGAGGGCAAGUCUGGUGCCAGCAGCCGCGGUAAUUCCAGCUCUCAAAAUGCAUAGAACCAUUGCUGCGGUUAAAAAGCUCGUAGUUGAAUUUAUGCCAGAGACUUGGUCCGCUCAUUGAGUGUGUACUAGGUUCUUUGGCUUUUCGUCGGUUUUCUUGUUGUUUGCCUUUAUUGGCAGCUGCAAGUGGCUGACAAUUUUACUUUGAACAAAUCAAAGUGCUCAAAACAGGCGUUUUGCUUGUAUGUUUUUGCAUGGAAUAAUAGAAUAAGACUUCGGUCUAGUUUUAUUGGUUUUAUAGAUCGUUGUAAUGAUUAAAAGAGACAAACGGGGGCAUUCGUAUUGUUGCGUGAGAGGUGAAAUUCUUGGACCGCAGCAAGACGUCCUACAGCGAAAGCAUUUGCCAAGCUUGUCUUCAUUAAUCAAGAACGAAAGUCAGAGGAUCGAAGGUGAUCAGAUACCGCCCUAGUUCUGACUGUAAACGAUGCCAACUAGCGAUUCGCCGGAGGAACUUUUGCCCUGGCGAGGAGCUUCCCGGAAACGAAAGUCUUCCGGUUCCGGGGGAAGUAUGGUUGCAAAGCUGAAACUUAAAGGAAUUGACGAAGGGCACCACCAGGAGUGGAGCCUGCGGCUUAAUUUGAC